UACGUAGGCAGCGAGCGUUGUUCGGAGUUACUGGGCGUAAAGCGUGCGUAGGCGGUGUCUUAAGUUUGUUGUGAAAUCUCCCGGCUUAACCGGGAGGGUGCGGCGAAUACUGAGAUGCUGGAGUGCCGGAGAGGUAAGCGGAAUUCCUGGUGUAGCGGUGAAAUGCGUAGAGAUCCGGAGGAACACCAGCGGCGAAGGCGGCAUCCUGGACUGGUCCUGACACUCAGGAACGAAAGCGUGGGGAGCGAUCCGG
This 253-nucleotide ribosomal RNA is filed under the name uncultured bacterium. RNAcentral describes it as "partial 16S ribosomal RNA". It matches the Rfam family "Bacterial small subunit ribosomal RNA", at positions 524 to 776 of the family's 1533-position model. The record is from RNAcentral.